Molecule: long non-coding RNA, 949 nt
Organism: Pogonomyrmex barbatus (red harvester ant)
Lineage: Eukaryota; Metazoa; Arthropoda; Insecta; Hymenoptera; Formicidae
Source: RefSeq, a predicted model, not a curated record
GGUAUGCCUUUUUCACUUAUGGGACGUUCGUUGCGAAGCGUUCCAAAUCGUCGUUGAUUGCGGUCCCAUCUCUAUGUACUCGGAAUUGGGGCUGCUAGGACUUCUGGUUGCUGCGGCUGAGGCAAAUCUAUGUUGAUGCUCGUCAGCUUCUGUGACGUCCUGGGAGGUCGGAUGGAGCCAAAAUCAGCAGAUCCUCGAUCUACACUCACACGUUAUUUGUGGGAUUCUUUUCCAUGCGGUUAAGAGGCUAAAACCUCAGGUUUAGAUGCUGCGAAGGAAGUGGGUAACAGGAAUGUCGAAGUGACUUUUAUUUUCAGGAAAGAGUUUUCAAUUUUGGGAAUAAGGAAUAAUAUAAUGUCACACUUGUGGUAUUUGAAUCGGGAUUUAUUCACUGUUGCAAAUGUUAUAUGUACACUAAUUCAAUUAUGGAAUUUAUUUAUGGAAUGCGACAUGCGAUUAAGAAUUACAUUGUUUGUAAACGGCAAGUUGCUCAGUUGCUAAGCGAUGCUGAUCAAGUGAUUAAUUCCUGAGCAAGUGCAAGUGUGCAAAGGUUUGAAUAAAGCCUGUUACCAAAUGGCCUUGGCACAGUUUGCCUACUGUUACUAUGAAUCAGCUAUGAUUCAUGCGUUUAAGAUUUUCUAGUUAUUCUUGACAUAGUUUUCUAUUUGUUAUGAGUCAGUGAUGGUAAGUAUUGUGGCGGCCUUAACAUUUAACGUUGGCCUACUUUCGCUUACAAACUGACCAUGAGUCACUUGUGACUAAGUAUUAUGGCAGCCUUGAUAUUUAACGUUGGCCUACUUUUGCUUACAAACUGACUAUGAGUCACACUUGUGACUAAGUAUUAUGGCGGCCUUGACAUUUAACGGUAACCUAUUUUUGUUUCCAAAGAGUUAUACUUCGUUAUAAUAAUUCCUUUCUUAUAAUUAACAAACAUACAGUUUGCUCGAAU